This 196-nucleotide non-coding RNA is filed under the name Bacillus sp. (in: firmicutes). The record is from RNAcentral. Lineage: Bacteria; Bacillati; Bacillota; Bacilli; Caryophanales; Bacillaceae.
CCGACAAUCUACGAUAAAGGUGUCUUGUUAUAGACUUAAUAGGGAAUCCGGUGAGAAUCCGGAACUGUCCCCGCAACUGUAAGUGCAGACGAUUUUGAGAAACCACUGUACAUGAAUGCUUAACGGCUCUUGUAUGGGAAGGCUCAGAAUAGGAAGAAGCACGAGUCAGGAGACCUGCCUUUACCGAUUUAGUUUC